CACAUGCAAGUCGAGCGGUUGACGGGAGCUUGCUCCCUGAUUCAGCGGCGGACGGGUGAGUAAUGCCUAGGAAUCUGCCUAUUAGUGGGGGACAACGUUUCGAAAGGAACGCUAAUACCGCAUACGUCCUACGGGAGAAAGCAGGGGACCUUCGGGCCUUGCGCUAAUAGAUGAGCCUAGGUCGGAUUAGCUAGUUGGUGGGGUAAAGGCUCACCAAGGCGACGAUCCGUAACUGGUCUGAGAGGAUGAUCAGUCACACUGGAACUGAGACACGGUCCAGACUCCUACGGGAGGCAGCAGUGGGGAAUAUUGGACAAUGGGCGAAAGCCUGAUCCAGCCAUGCCGCGUGUGUGAAGAAGGUCUUCGGAUUGUAAAGCACUUUAAGUUGGGAGGAAGGGUUGUAGAUUAAUACUCUGCAAUUUUGACGUUACCGACAGAAUAAGCACCGGCUAACUCUGUGCCAGCAGCCGCGGUAAUACAGAGGGUGCAAGCGUUAAUCGGAAUUACUGGGCGUAAAGCGCGCGUAGGUGGUUUGUUAAGUUGGAUGUGAAAGCCCCGGGCUCAACCUGGGAACUGCAUCCAAAAC
Molecule: ribosomal RNA, 586 nt
Filed under: Phytopseudomonas argentinensis
Lineage: Bacteria; Pseudomonadati; Pseudomonadota; Gammaproteobacteria; Pseudomonadales; Pseudomonadaceae
Also listed under: 1 other name
Description: bacterial SSU rRNA
Rfam family: Bacterial small subunit ribosomal RNA
Source: RNAcentral